Molecule: ribosomal RNA, 250 nt
Filed under: uncultured bacterium
Lineage: Bacteria
Description: partial 16S ribosomal RNA
Rfam family: Bacterial small subunit ribosomal RNA
Source: RNAcentral
AACGUAGGAGGCGAGCGUUAUCCGGAUUCACUGGGCGUAAAGCGCGCGUAGGCGGUUAGGCAAGUCGGAUGUUAAAGCCCCUGGCUCAACUGGGGGAGGUCAUUCGAUACUGCUUGGCUUGAGGGUGAGAGAGGAAAGUGGAAUUCCCGGUGUAGCGGUGGAAUGCGUAGAGAUCGGGAGGAACACCAGUGGCGAAGGCGGCUUUCUGGCUCACUUCUGACGCUGAGAGCGCGAAAGCGUGGGGAGCAAA